This 793-nucleotide ribosomal RNA is filed under the name uncultured Pelagibacteraceae bacterium. RNAcentral describes it as "bacterial SSU rRNA". It matches the Rfam family "Bacterial small subunit ribosomal RNA", at positions 45 to 886 of the family's 1533-position model. Lineage: Bacteria; Pseudomonadati; Pseudomonadota; Alphaproteobacteria; Candidatus Pelagibacterales; Candidatus Pelagibacteraceae. The record is from RNAcentral.
CGCCUAACACAUGCAAGUCGAACGAAGUAGCAAUACUUAGUGGCAGACGGGUGAGUAACAUGUAGGUAUCUGCCCUUUGGCCUGGAAUAACACGAGGAAACUUGUGCUAAUACCGGAUAAGUCUUUACGGAGAAAGCUUUAUGCACCAUUGGAUGAGCCUGCACUUGAUUAGUUUGUUGGUAGGGUAAUGGCCUACCAAGACUUUGAUCAAUAGCUGAUUUGAGAGGAUGAUCAGCCACAUUGGGACUGAGACACGGCCCAAACUCCUACGGGAGGCAGCAGUGGGGAAUCUUGCACAAUGGAGGAAACUCUGAUGCAGCGAUGCCGCGUGAGUGAAGAAGGCCCUUGGGUUGUAAAGCUCUUUCGUCGGGGAAGAAAAUGACUGUACCCGAAUAAGAAGGUCCGGCUAACUUCGUGCCAGCAGCCGCGGUAAUACGAAGGGACCUAGCGUAGUUCGGAAUUACUGGGCUUAAAGAGUUCGUAGGUGGUUGAAAAAGUUGGUGGUGAAAUCCCAGAGCUUAACUCUGGAACUGCCAUCAAAACUUUUCAGCUAGAGUUUGAUAGAGGAAAGCAGAAUUUCUAGUGUAGAGGUGAAAUUCGUAGAUAUUAGAAAGAAUACCAAUUGCGAAGGCAGCUUUCUGGAUCAUUACUGACACUGAGGAACGAAAGCAUGGGUAGCGAAGAGGAUUAGAUACCCUCGUAGUCCAUGCCGUAAACGAUGUGUGUUAGACGUUGGAAAUUUAUUUUCAGUGUCGCAGCGAAAGCGAUAAACACACCGCCUGGGGAGUACGAC